GACGAACGCUGGCGGCGUGCUUAACACAUGCAAGUCGAACGGAAAGGCCCUGCUUUUGUGGGGUGCUCGAGUGGCGAACGGGUGAGUAACACGUGAGUAACCUCCCCUUGACUUUGGGAUAACUUCAGGAAACUGGGGCUAAUACCGGAUAGGAGCUCCUGCUGCAUGGUGGGGGUUGGAAAGUUUCGGCGGUUGGGGAUGGACUCGCGGCUUAUCAGCCUGUUGGUGGGGUAGUGGCCUACCACGGCGUUGACGGGUAGCCCGCCUGGGAGGGUGACCGGCCACAAUGGUACGACGAUACGCACCAGACUCCUACGGGCGGCAGCAGUGGGGAAUAUUGCACAGGGGGCCGCAGCCUGAUGCAGCGACGCCGCGUGCGUGAUGACGGCCUUCGGGUUGUAACCCGCUUUCGACUGUGACGAAGCGUGAGUGACGGUAAUGGGUAAAGAAGCACCGGCUAACUACGUG
This 468-nucleotide ribosomal RNA is filed under the name uncultured bacterium. RNAcentral's name for it is "partial 16S ribosomal RNA". It matches the Rfam family "Bacterial small subunit ribosomal RNA", at positions 28 to 507 of the family's 1533-position model. The record is from RNAcentral.